This 64-nucleotide transfer RNA is filed under the name Cavia porcellus (domestic guinea pig). It matches the Rfam family "tRNA". Rfam says of the family: Transfer RNA (tRNA) molecules are approximately 80 nucleotides in length. The record is from Rfam by way of RNAcentral. Lineage: Eukaryota; Metazoa; Chordata; Mammalia; Rodentia; Caviidae.
GGGGAUUUAGCUCAGUUGCAUAAGUGCCUGCCUUGCAAGCAGGCAGUUGUGAGUUCAAUCCCUG